RNAcentral lists this long non-coding RNA (230 nucleotides) under Vigna radiata. Its description in RNAcentral is "long non-coding RNA (VRAD_LNC004659)". Lineage: Eukaryota; Viridiplantae; Streptophyta; Magnoliopsida; Fabales; Fabaceae. The record is from RNAcentral.
AACUUCGGUUAGGCGCACUAAUGGGUGUCGCGGCCCAUACAAAUUUGAUUGCAUAUGAGAAAUGCAAUAUAGACUAGGAAGUGACUCUUAGGUCGUCUAUCAAGGACCAACUGUGGUUCAGGACUUAGGUCUAACACGUAGUGGGGGGGUUUGUGAAAAUCUUUGUGAAUACGGAUAACUAAAUUAAAACACGAAUGCAAACAAAAGUGUAAAAAGAAAUGUAAAAACAG